GCUGGAAUAGCUCAGAUGGUAGAGCGCACCCAUGGUAAGGGUGAGGUCUCGGGUUCGAUCCCCGAUUCCAGCUCCA
This 76-nucleotide transfer RNA is filed under the name candidate division WS6 bacterium OLB20. RNAcentral describes it as "tRNA-Thr". It matches the Rfam family "tRNA". Rfam says of the family: Transfer RNA (tRNA) molecules are approximately 80 nucleotides in length. The record is from RNAcentral.